GGAGACGGGGGUGAGCAAAAAAAAAAAGAAAGAAAAAAGUUAGCUCCUCCUCUUUCUCCUCCAUCUCCCUCUUUCCUUCUCUCUCACUGGGAAAGUUAACAGCACUCUGCCACGUCAAGCUUACGAGUUGCCGCUGUGCCACCCGGUAGGAACGGGACAACGCGCUCCGUUCUCCGUCUUUUUUCCAAGUCAGAACGUGUACAUGUUGCGUUUUCAAGGGAAAGUCUCGGGACUUCAACUCAGAGACAGUCGUUUUUUCCUCUGAACGAACCUCAGGGCCCGGAGAUAGACCUGAACUUCUAUAACUUGUAUAAUUCCAUACUUUUACGGCCUGGCUGUCUGACUUCAAGUACCGCCCGGCUGAAGCGUCUCACUCUGACUGGAGAGGGGAAGACGGAUGGGAUGGGGAUGGGUGAAGUGUGAAGAGAAACAUCUGUGCUGAAUCUAUCCAGCUUUGCACUCAAGAAGAGUCCUGAGAGGAGGGAAAGACUGGAACUUUUGGGAGGCAGGACGGAGCGCUGAAAGCACCAUCGCUGCAGCAGCCAUCACUUCUCACUUGAUAUGGUAAAGCACACAGAUAUCUCUAAUCUCUGAAUUAAUCAGACGUCCAGGAUAUGAGAGCAUGUGUGUGCAAAUUGGUCCGGGAAUGGAGUAAGAAGGUUGAAAUAGAGAGGACAUUGACCUGUCCCGCCUGCCCAGUGUUCAGACUACCUGUUCAGGAAGUAGCGGUUGUACAGUAGUCUGCACAUUGGUUAGGCUGGGUGGGGAAACGCGAGAGUCGGUCCUCGUCAUCGCUGACAACGCAAACCUAUCGACCAAUCAACAGCUUGUCAUGCUUUACUGAUGAACUGUGAUGUGUAAUUCUUUAAUAAAUCCAUCAAAUUCAA
Long non-coding RNA from Pangasianodon hypophthalmus (striped catfish), 887 nucleotides. RefSeq lists it as uncharacterized. Lineage: Eukaryota; Metazoa; Chordata; Actinopteri; Siluriformes; Pangasiidae. The record is from RefSeq and is a predicted model, not a curated record. The transcript is spliced from 3 exons.